RNAcentral lists this ribosomal RNA (497 nucleotides) under uncultured bacterium. Its description in RNAcentral is "partial 16S ribosomal RNA". It matches the Rfam family "Bacterial small subunit ribosomal RNA", at positions 28 to 507 of the family's 1533-position model. The record is from RNAcentral.
GAUGAACGCUGGCGGCGUGCCUAAUACAUGCAAGUCGAGCGAACAGACGAGGAGCUUGCUCCUCUGACGUUAGCGGCGGACGGGUGAGUAACACGUGGAUAACCUACCUAUAAGACUGGGAUAACUUCGGGAAACCGGAGCUAAUACCGGAUAAUAUAUUGAACCGCAUGGUUCAAUAGUGAAAGACGGUUUUGCUGUCACUUAUAGAUGGAUCCGCGCCGCAUUAGCUAGUUGGUAAGGUAACGGCUUACCAAGGCAACGAUGCGUAGCCGACCUGAGAGGAGGAGCAGCGACAGUGGAACUGAGGCGCGGUCCAGACUCAUACGGGAGGCAGCAGGGGGGAAUAUUGGACAAGGGGCGAAGGCCUGAUCCCGCUAUGCCGCGGGAGUGAAAAAGGUCUUAGGAUUUUAAAGCACUUUAAGUAGGGAGGAACGGCAUGAAGCGGAUACCUUGCUGGCGGGCCGUUACCAACAGAAAAAGCCCCGGCUAACCUCGUA